Triticum urartu is the source of this 870-nucleotide long non-coding RNA. RefSeq lists it as uncharacterized. NCBI's taxonomy places the organism in Eukaryota, Viridiplantae, Streptophyta, Magnoliopsida, Poales, Poaceae. The record is from RefSeq and is a predicted model, not a curated record.
UCCCGUGACAAAAUUCCUGAUCUGCUAUUAGUUGGGCCUCGAGUCUUUCCUGUGUGACCAAUUCAUCCACGUGAUCUCUCUGCAUCCCCGCUCCACUUCGUGUCCUAGGCCUAAUCGCCGCACCGGCGAUGACGGUGAGUGAUGCUUUGGGUUGCUGCCACCAGCCCUACUGCUCCCGGUCCCUCUGGUUGUGUUCAUCAAGGUUCCAGUCAACUGAUUUGGGCAAAUCUUGGAGGUUGGUACUCAUCGAGCCGCCGAUCUUCAAUCUGAUCCAUUCAAGUCAGGCUUGACUGAUCGAUGCAGGGCGAAUCAAGGCGGGCCUGACUGAUUGAUGCAGGGCGAAGCAAGGCCGGGGUCAAUUUUUGUUGGUUCUAUCGGUAACGGCCUCGCUCGACACUUCCUUGGCGUUGACACUUACAUGCGGUGGAUUUUCACGCCCCUACGCCCCUUCUUCACUGGACAAUAAUACAAAGGUUGCAGGUACAGGCAAAGCGAUGCUUUGACGUGAGAGCGAUGCUUGCUUGUCUUGGAGUUCUUCUUCUGCUUCUUCUUCUUCGAUCAAGGGAUAGGUUCCGGGUCGGGGAGCCUGGGAUUAGCAGGGUGGAUGUCAUUCUUCUUUUCGUUUGUUUUCAUCCGUAGUCGGAUCCUGCUCUUUUGUAUGAUGAUUGUUAUGUAUUGAUGAACUGUUGUAUUCAUGUUGUAGCUUGUGGCGAGUGUAAGCCUUUAACUUGUAUUCUCAUCUAUUCAGUACAUGGUAUGUUGUAAUGAUAUCCACCUUGCUAUGCGCUCGAAAUACGAUUGUGCCUCGAUCAUGAAUUCAUCACAUGAUUGGGAUAGAAUCGCAUCUUGGGCGCUAUACGGUUUCACUGA